UUAGUUGAAGCCAAAAUAGAGGCCCUUUACUGUUAAUGAAGAAACUGAUGCAUAGCAUCCAACUAAA
This 67-nucleotide transfer RNA is filed under the name Reduvius tenebrosus. Its description in RNAcentral is "tRNA-Asn". The record is from RNAcentral. Lineage: Eukaryota; Metazoa; Arthropoda; Insecta; Hemiptera; Reduviidae.